RNAcentral lists this long non-coding RNA (1603 nucleotides) under Pelobates cultripes (western spadefoot toad). The record is from RNAcentral. Lineage: Eukaryota; Metazoa; Chordata; Amphibia; Anura; Pelobatidae.
AUUACUUCUAGGGAAAGCGUGCACGCAUUAAUCAAUCAAUUUGGAAGGUGUAGAUAGACAAAUUAUCAAAGUUUUCUUUGAUCCAAAUCAGUUGGAUGACCUACACAAGGUGAUAGUAGAACUAUACUUUUAACCUUUAUAUUUAUUGUCUUUGUGUAGAAGAUGGGCAUGAGAGCUAUCUUGGUAAUCUGCUCUUCCAAUACAGGAAUGGUCUUUCAGGCACCCUGAAAGAUGAAUUGACUAGAACUGGUGUUCCAGAAACAUUGGUAGGAUUAAUUAACAUACAUCACACUGUAUAGGAGGUUUUGUGAAAGUAAGGCUGAGAAAACACAUUCUUUGCCAUGGUGUUGACCUCCUAAUUCCGAAAGUCACAAACUGAUGUUUCAGGAAUCAAAAAAAAAAAAAAAAUCUAUCCUAUGGAGCUUGGUAUCACUAGAGAACCACUAUCUGAGGAAUAGAGAAGACAUUGUAGAAAUAUUAACCUUAAAGAAUAAGUUAAGGACUGUUCUCGCUCUUCUUCUUUCUGAUCCUGACCUUCCUUAUACAUCAGAAGUAGAUGCCUCCAAGAUUGCCAUUUGUGCCAUCAUCUCACAAAGGAAAAAUCCUACCUUUCUUCUUCAUCCUAUCUUGUUUUUCAAGAGAACAAAAUUACAUUGUAGGAGGAAAAUAAUUGUUGUCCAUUAAAUCCUUGAAAGAAUGGAGGCUUCUAGUGUAAAAAAUACUCAUUUAUGAUCUCCAUAAAAAUCUUGAUUAUCUGUGUUCAGCUAAAAGACGGACUAUCCUGCCCAUUGAACACCAGCACCUUUGAUGCUGGCCUUAUCUACCCUCUUACCCCCAGAACGAUACAGGUGAUCCCGGUCGUCGAAUUGGGAACCCAAUUACAACACUGAGUGGCUGCCAUAAUGCCAAGAUGAACAGGAGGUUAACCUAAAAUUAUGGAUGCCUUGUGUCGAGCAGACAGCUGCAGAAAACAAGUUACAUUUAACUGCUCCCUCAACAAAAUUUUUGUGGCCGUCUGGGAGAAGCUGGACCGCCACCUGCAACAGUCUAAUAACCGGCCGAGGAGUGAUCAAAUCCUUCCAAGCUUACCACCUAGUAUUCGGCAGAAGACACUGGCUCCAGAUGUGGGUCGGGCAAGUGAUGGGAUGUAAGACUGGAGAAACCUGUAACAACAGCUGCAAAGCAAAGCCCACCAGAAGGCCAAGAUACUUGCAUACCGGAUCGUACAUUAGCCUAGAAAGCAAGCACACAGCGAGGGAUUUCAUUACUAUUACUGGGCUUGCCACUACGCCUAAGCAUCAUGUCUACCGAGAUUGGAGUCCUGGUGCUCACGGGCAGCCAGACCUGACCAUGACUAUGCCCUUGGAGGGUAUUGGCUGGCCCUUUUCAUAUCAUGUUCUACCAUUCCAGACUCAAUGGCUCUGGCUAUGUUAUUUCCAUGACAGUCACAGACAGAUUGCUACAAUUUACAUCACAAUUCUGGAGAACACUAUGUUGUUCCUUAAGAAUUGUGAACAAAUUCUUCACAUCCUUUCACCCAUAAACAAACGGACAAACAGAAAGAGUAAAUGGUAUAUUGGAAGAAUAUAUACAAGUAAAUUCC